This 22-nucleotide microRNA is filed under the name Mus musculus (house mouse). RNAcentral describes it as "microRNA miRNA103". The record is from RNAcentral. Lineage: Eukaryota; Metazoa; Chordata; Mammalia; Rodentia; Muridae. RNAcentral also lists the same sequence under 1 other name.
UGACACCUGCCACCCAGCCCAA